AAGUCGUAACAAGGUUUCCGUAGGUGAACCUGCGGAAGGAUCAUUAACACGUAUCCAACGUUAAAACCCCCCGUGAACCUUUAUUGUGCUCCCAGAUCCUGCACAUGGCGCAAACCCUGGUAAAUCAUGCACGACAGUAUUCGAUUCAGGGCAAAAUUACCGCGUAAGAGUCUGACCGAGUGCGAGGCAAGUGGCCUGGCAUCCAGACGAGGUCACAAUGUCUGAAAGUGUCAUUGUUUCUCUCAGGAUGGCGCAGUCACGUUCGCUGGAGGCCCACACGGCCGGCGACCGGGCCCCUGGGCGCAAGCCCCCUAAUAACCCCAGCCCCCCUCUACGGUGUGCGCUAAACAGCUGCACCCACAAAAACUCGUACAACUGUUAACAAUGGAUAUCUUGGUUCUC
Molecule: unclassified non-coding RNA, 402 nt
Filed under: fungal sp.
Lineage: Eukaryota; Fungi
Description: partial internal transcribed spacer region
Rfam family: Eukaryotic small subunit ribosomal RNA (bases 1-46)
Source: RNAcentral